UCGCGGCUUAUCACCGGCAGUCCCCUUAGAGUGCCCAACUUAAUGAUGGUAACUAGCGACGAGGGUUGCGCUCGUUGCGGGACUUAACCCAACAUCUCACAACACGAGCUGACGACAGCCAUGCAGCACCUGUGUUGCGGUUCCCUUUCGGGCACCCCUGCAUUUCUGCAGGGUUCCGCACAUGUCAAGGGUAGGUAAGGUUUUUCGCGUUGCAUCGAAUUAAACCACAUGCUCCACCGCUUGUGCGGGCCCCCGUCAAUUCCUUUGAGUUUCAGCCUUGCGGCCGUACUCCCCAGGCGGGGUACUUACUGCGUUAGCGACGGCACCGAAGGGGUCGCUCCCCCCGACGCCUAGUACCCAUCGUUUACGGCGUGGACUAC
Molecule: unclassified non-coding RNA, 380 nt
Filed under: uncultured bacterium
Lineage: Bacteria
Description: contains 16S-23S intergenic spacer region
Source: RNAcentral